UACAGAGGGUGCAAGCGUUGUUCGGAAUUAUUGGGCGUAAAGGGCUCGUAGGCGGCCAACUAAGUCGGACGUGAAAUCCCUCGGCUUAACCGGGGAACUGCGUCCGAUACUGGAUGGCUUGAGUUUGGGAGAGGGAUGCGGAAUUCCAGGUGUAGCGGUGAAAUGCGUAGAUAUCUGGAGGAACACCGGUGGCGAAGGCGGCAUCCUGGACCAAUAUUGACGCUGAGGAGCGAAAGCCAGGGGAGCAAACGGG
RNAcentral lists this ribosomal RNA (253 nucleotides) under uncultured bacterium. RNAcentral describes it as "partial 16S ribosomal RNA". It matches the Rfam family "Bacterial small subunit ribosomal RNA", at positions 524 to 776 of the family's 1533-position model. The record is from RNAcentral.